AGAGUUUGAUCCUGGCUCAGGAUGAACACUGGCGGCGUGCUUAAGACAUGCAAGUCGAACGCAGUCGCUCCGCAAGGGGCGGCUGAGUGGCGAAUGGGUGCGUAACACGUAGGUGACCUGCCCGAAAGUGGGGAAUAACAGUCCGAAAGGACUGCUAAUACCGCAUGCGGUGCGCGGGGUUAGAGAACCGCGCUCCAAAGGUGCGAGCAAUCGUGCCGCUUUCGGAGGGGCCUGCGGCCCAUCAGCUAGUUGGUAGGGUAACGGCCUACCAAGGCGACGACGGGUAGGGGACCUGAGAGGGUGACCCCCCACACUGGCACUGACACACGGGCCAGACUCCUACGGGAGGCAGCAGUCGGGAAUAUUGCCCAAUGGACGAAAGUCUGAGGCAGCAACGCCGCGUGCGCGAUGAAGGCCUUCGGGUCGUAAAGCGCUUUUCGGGUGGAUGAGACAGGACAGUACACCCGGAAUAAGGUACGGCUAACUACGUGCCAGCAGCCGCGGUAAAACGUAGGUACCGAGCGUUAUCCGGAUUUACUGGGCGUAAAGCGCGUUCAGGCGGUCUGACAAGUCGGGCAUGAAAUCUCUCGGCUCAACCGGGAGAGGUUGUCCGAUACUGUCGGACUGGAGGGCAGUAGAGGGUGGUGGAAUUCCGGGUGUAGUGGUGAGAUGCGUAGAGAUCCGGAGGAACACCAGUGGCGAAAGCGGCCACCUGGACUGUACCUGACGCUGAAACGCGAAAGCUAGGGGAGCGAACGGGAUUAGAUACCCCGGUAGUCC
Molecule: ribosomal RNA, 780 nt
Filed under: uncultured bacterium
Lineage: Bacteria
Description: bacterial SSU rRNA
Rfam family: Bacterial small subunit ribosomal RNA
Source: RNAcentral